AUGAACGCUGGCGGCGUGCCUAAUACAUGCAAGUCGCGCGAACGGACGAGAAGCUUGCUUCUCUGAUGUUAGCGGCGGACGGGUGAGUAACACGUGGAUAACCUACCUAUAAGACUGGGAUAACUUCGGGAAACCGGAGCUAAUACCGGAUAAUAUUUUGAACCGCAUGGUUCAAAAGUGAAAGACGGUCUUGCUGUCACUUAUAGAUGGAUCCGCGCUGCAUUAGCUAGUUGGUAAGGUAACGGCUUACCAAGGCAACGAUGCAUAGCCGACCUGAGAGGGUGUUCGGCCACACUGGAACUGAGACACGGUCCAGACUCCUACGGGAGGCAGCAGUAGGGAAUCUUCCGCAAUGGGCGAAAGCCUGACGGAGCAACGCCGCGUGAGUGAUGAAGGUCUUCGGAUCGUAAAACUCUGUUAUUAGGGAAGAACAUAUGUGUAAGUAACUGUGCACAUCUUGACGGUACCUAAUCAGAAAGCCACGGCUAACUACGUG
RNAcentral lists this ribosomal RNA (496 nucleotides) under uncultured bacterium. RNAcentral's name for it is "partial 16S ribosomal RNA". It matches the Rfam family "Bacterial small subunit ribosomal RNA", at positions 29 to 507 of the family's 1533-position model. The record is from RNAcentral.